CCCAAUUAGGGUGGAUAGUUUAGUCAAAUUUGUAUACUUCUACGCGUGUAAGAGGAGGAUUGGAUAGUGGAAGUCUCUUAAGUGGCCUUCUAAAGCAGAGGAUGUAAUAUAGUUAUGCGUUCUUGUUAUAUUUAUUUGUCAUUUGUGCCUCUACAAUCUCCCAAAUAUGUAUAAUUCUUGUUCUUCUUCUUUUGUUUUUGGGUGCUUUAUUGUUGUAGUCUUCAAUGAUGUAAUAUAGUUAUGCCUUCUUGUUAUAUUUAUUUGUUAUUGGUGCCUCUACAAUCUCCCAAAUAUGUAUAAUUCUUGAUAUUCUUCUUUUGUUUUUAGGUGCUUUGUUGUUGUAAUCUUCAAUGAUGUAAUAUAGUUAUGCCUUCUUGUUAUAUUUAUUUGUUAUUGGUGCCUCUACAAUCUCCCAAAUAUGUAUAAUUCUUGAUAUUCUUCUUUUGUUUUUAGGUGCUUUGUUGUUGUAAUCUUCAAUGAUGUAAUAUAGUUAUGCCUUCUUGUUAUAUUUAUUUGUUAUUGGUGCCUCUACAAUCUCC
Molecule: long non-coding RNA, 539 nt
Filed under: Actinidia chinensis (golden kiwifruit)
Lineage: Eukaryota; Viridiplantae; Streptophyta; Magnoliopsida; Ericales; Actinidiaceae
Description: long non-coding RNA (ACHI_LNC005068)
Source: RNAcentral